GGAGCCCUACGGGAGGCAGCAGUGGGGAAUAUUGGGCAACGGGCGAAAGCCUGAUGCAGCAACGCCGCGUGAAGGAAGAAGGCCUUCGGGUCGUAAACUUCUGUCCUUGGGGAAGAAGAACUGACGGUACCCAAGGAGGAAGCCCCGGCUAACUACGUGCCAGCAGCCGCGGUAAUACGUAGGGGGCAAGCGUUAUCCGGAAUUAUUGGGCGUAAAGAGUACGUAGGCGGCAACCUAAGCGCAGGGUUUAAGGCAAUGGCUCAACCAUUGUUCGCCCUGCGAACUGGGAUGCUUGAGUGCAGGAG
This 305-nucleotide ribosomal RNA is filed under the name uncultured bacterium. RNAcentral describes it as "bacterial SSU rRNA". It matches the Rfam family "Bacterial small subunit ribosomal RNA", at positions 333 to 654 of the family's 1533-position model. The record is from RNAcentral.